GAUAAACGCUAGCGGCAGGCUUAACACGUGCAAGUCGAGGGGCAGCAUAGAUUGUAGCAAUACAAUUGGUGGCGACCGGCGCACGGGUGCGUAACGCGUAUGCAACCUACCCGUCACAGGGGGAUAAUCCGGAGAAAUCUGGUCUAAUACCCCAUAACAUAUGGAUCGGCAUCGGUUCAUGUUGAAAUUUGCGGAGGUGACGGAUGGGCAUGCGUAGCAUUAGCUUGUUGGUGAGGUAACGGCUCACCAAGGCGACGAUGCUUAGGGGGACUGAGAGGUUUUCCCCCCACACUGGUACUGAGACACGGACCAGACUCCUACGGGAGGCAGCAGUGAGGAAUAUUGGUCAAUGGGCGCAAGCCUGAACCAGCCAUGCCGCGUGCAGGAUGACGGCUCUAUGAGUUGUAAACUGCUUUUGUACGAGGGUAAAGUGGGUUACGUGUAACCUUUUGAAAGUAUCGUACGAAUAAGGAUCGGCUAACUCCGUGCCAGCAGCCGCAGUAA
This 504-nucleotide ribosomal RNA is filed under the name uncultured bacterium. Its description in RNAcentral is "partial 16S ribosomal RNA". It matches the Rfam family "Bacterial small subunit ribosomal RNA", at positions 28 to 523 of the family's 1533-position model. The record is from RNAcentral.